GACGAACGCUGGCGGCGUGCUUAACACAUGCAAGUCGAACGCUGAAGACCUGGCUUUUGUUGGGUUGGAUGAGUGGCGAACGGGUGAGUAACACGCGAGUAACCUGCCCUCUUCUUUGGGAUAACGCCCGGAAACGGGUGCUAAUACUGGAUAUUCACUGGCCUUCGCAUGGGGGUUGGUGGAAAGGUUUGUUCUGGUGGGGGAUGGGCUCGCGGCCUAUCAGCUUGUUGGUGGGGUGAUGGCCUACCAAGGCUUUGACGGGUAGCCGGCCUGAGAGGGUGACCGGUCACAUUGGGACUGAGAUACGGCCCAGACUCCUACGGGAGGCAGCAGUGGGGAAUAUUGCACAAUGGGCGAAAGCCUGAUGCAGCGACGCCGCGUGAGGGAUGGAGGCCUUCGGGUUGUAAACCUCUUUCGCUCAUGGUCAAGCCGCAACUGUGGGUUGUGGUGAGGGUAGUGGGUAAAGAAGCGCCGGCUAACUACGUG
Molecule: ribosomal RNA, 486 nt
Filed under: uncultured bacterium
Lineage: Bacteria
Description: partial 16S ribosomal RNA
Rfam family: Bacterial small subunit ribosomal RNA
Source: RNAcentral